Molecule: ribosomal RNA, 657 nt
Filed under: Streptomyces canus
Lineage: Bacteria; Bacillati; Actinomycetota; Actinomycetes; Kitasatosporales; Streptomycetaceae
Description: partial 16S ribosomal RNA
Rfam family: Bacterial small subunit ribosomal RNA
Source: RNAcentral
GGGYGUCUGCCCUUCMSUCUGGGACAAGCCCUGGAAACGGGGUCUAAUACCGGAUACCACUACCGCAGGCAUCUGUGGUGGUUGAAAGCUCCGGSGGWGARGGAUGARCCCGCGGCCUAUCAGCUUGWWGGUGAGGUAAUGGCUCACCAAGGCGACGACGGGUAGCCGGCCUGAGAGGGCGACCGGCCACACUGGGACUGAGACACGGCCCAGACUCCUACGGGAGGCAGCAGUGGGGAAUAUUGCACAAUGGGCGAAAGCCUGAUGCAGCGACGCCGCGUGAGGGAUGACGGCCUUCGGGUUGUAAACCUCUUUCAGCAGGGAAGAAGCGAAAGUGACGGUACCUGCAGAAGAAGCGCCGGCUAACUACGUGCCAGCAGCCGCGGUAAUACGUAGGGCGCAAGCGUUGUCCGGAAUUAUUGGGCGUAAAGAGCUCGUAGGCGGCUUGUCACGUCGGGUGUGAAAGCCCGGGGCUUAWCCCCGGGUCUGCAUUCGAUACGGGCUAGCUAGAGUGUGGUAGGGGAGAUCGSAAUUCSUGGUGUAGCGGUGAWAUGCGCAGAUAUCAAGAGGAACACCGGUGGCGAAAGGCGGAUCUCUGGGCCAUUACUGACGCUGAAGAGCGRAAGCSUGGGGAGSGUACACGAYUAGAUAYCUCUG